CCUCCAAAAAAAGUUUUUGUGUUUUCUUUCCCCACCAAUUUCUCCUUCCAACAAUAUGAUCUGUGAAAAGGUCCAUUAACCCACAUCUUCUCAGCACUAAAUAUCUAUCUCUCUAAUGCUUUGCCAUCCUGAUAGAUUUUGUGUUUGUUUUUAUUUAGGUUCAGUUUGCCAGCAUAUAGUAUAACACCCAGUGCUCAUCCCAUCAAGUCAUACUGAUAGACUUAAUUUGAUUUUGAAAACCCUAAGUUCAGGGUCACUCCAGAAAGAGAGAAGAAGCAAGACCGGGACAGUCUUCAGACAACAUUGGGAAGAUGGUGUGCGGUGCCCAGAGGAGGGGAAGCAGGGCUCUGGAAUCAUCUUCUAUGUG
RNAcentral lists this long non-coding RNA (367 nucleotides) under Canis lupus familiaris (dog). RNAcentral's name for it is "lncRNA (ENSCAFG00845002421.1)". Lineage: Eukaryota; Metazoa; Chordata; Mammalia; Carnivora; Canidae. The record is from RNAcentral.